This 436-nucleotide ribosomal RNA is filed under the name uncultured bacterium. Its description in RNAcentral is "bacterial SSU rRNA". It matches the Rfam family "Bacterial small subunit ribosomal RNA", at positions 340 to 769 of the family's 1533-position model. The record is from RNAcentral.
UACGGGAGGCAGCAGUGGGGAAUAUUGCACAAUGGGCGCAAGCCUGAUGCAGCCAUGCCGCGUGUAUGAAGAAGGCCUUCGGGUUGUAAAGUACUUUCAGUCGUGAGGAAGGUGUUAAGGUUAAUAACCUUAGCAAUUGACGUUAGCGACAGAAGAAGCACCGGCUAACUCCGUGCCAGCAGCCGCGGUAAUACGGAGGGUGCGAGCGUUAAUCGGAAUUACUGGGCGUAAAGGGCACGCAGGCGGUUAAUUAAGUUGGAUGUGAAAUCCCCGGGCUUAACCUGGGAAUGGCAUUCAAGACUGGUUAGCUAGAGUCUUGUAGAGGGGGUAGAAUUCCGAUGUGUAGCGGUGAAAUGCGUAGAGAUGUGGAGGAAUACCGGUGGCGAAGGCGGCCCCUGGACAAAGACUGACGCUCAUGUGCGAAAGCGUGGGGAGC